Long non-coding RNA from Drosophila sechellia, 261 nucleotides. RefSeq lists it as uncharacterized. NCBI's taxonomy places the organism in Eukaryota, Metazoa, Arthropoda, Insecta, Diptera, Drosophilidae. The record is from RefSeq and is a predicted model, not a curated record. The transcript is spliced from 3 exons.
AGGAGCGCUGAAAAAAAUUGUUUCUUAAGAUUCAUAGAGAUCUACAGACUCCUGGAGCCAAAUUCUACCUGACAAAUCUGUUGAUAUAUUAAGCGGACACAGUCGACAUUUGACAAAAAGCCUUUGCGGUCGCAGCUGAGUCUUAAUCACCUUGUAAUAGCCGAUCUCAUGAAUCAAAUGGCACACAUCGGGCAUCCUUGAAUGGGACCCCUUGUUCGCUCGCAUCCAAGUGAGUGGAAGGAUUCUGAAUUCUAUAUUUUA